Molecule: unclassified non-coding RNA, 386 nt
Filed under: uncultured bacterium
Lineage: Bacteria
Description: contains 16S-23S intergenic spacer region
Source: RNAcentral
UCCUGGUUUCCCAGGCAGUCCCACCAGAGUGCUUCACUUGCGUGAAUUGCAACUGGCGGCAAGGGUUGCGCUCGUUAAAGGACUUAACCCAACAUCUCACGACACGAGCUGACGACAGCCAUGCAGCACCUGUGCAUGUGUCUAGACCGAAGCCUAAAAGACCAUAUUUCUACAGCUGUCACAUACAUGUCAAGCCUAGGUAAGGUUCCUCGCGUAGUAUCGAAUUAAACCACAUGUUCCACCGCUUGUGCGGACCCCCGUCAAUUCCUUUGAGUUUUAGUCUUGCGACCGUACUCCCCAGGCGGAUCACUUAACGCGUUAGCUACGACACUAAUCUCGCAGAGCGAAAUUAACGUCUAGUGAUCAUCGUUUACGGCGUGGACUAC